UACGAAGGGGGCUAGCGUUGUUCGGAAUUACUGGGCGUAAAGCGCGCGCAGGUGGUCUUUCAAGUCAGUGGUGAAAGCCCGGAGCUCAACUCCGGAAAUGCCAUUGAAACUGUAAGACUUGAGGAUGAGAGAGGUGAGUGGAAUUCCCAGUGUAGAGGUGAAAUUCGUAGAUAUUGGGAAGAACACCGGUGGCGAAGGCGGCUCACUGGCUCAUAUCUGACGCUCAGGCGCGACAGCGUGGGG
Molecule: ribosomal RNA, 243 nt
Filed under: uncultured bacterium
Lineage: Bacteria
Description: partial 16S ribosomal RNA
Rfam family: Bacterial small subunit ribosomal RNA
Source: RNAcentral